UGGCCUUUAGCUUCAUAAAGCCUGUAGAUUUCGGCUCUUCAUGUGUGACAGGUGUCACAAAGGCUUA
RNAcentral lists this transfer RNA (67 nucleotides) under Modiolus metcalfei. RNAcentral's name for it is "tRNA-Arg". The record is from RNAcentral. Lineage: Eukaryota; Metazoa; Mollusca; Bivalvia; Mytilida; Modiolidae. RNAcentral also lists the same sequence under 1 other name.